RNAcentral lists this ribosomal RNA (232 nucleotides) under uncultured bacterium. RNAcentral describes it as "partial 16S ribosomal RNA". It matches the Rfam family "Bacterial small subunit ribosomal RNA", at positions 99 to 334 of the family's 1533-position model. The record is from RNAcentral.
CGGACGGGUGAGUAAUGUCUGGGAAACUGCCUGAUGGAGGGGGAUAACUACUGGAAACGGUAGCUAAUACCGCAUAACGUCGCAAGACCAAAGAGGGGGACCUUCGGGCCUCUUGCCAUCGGAUGUGCCCAGAUGGGAUUAGCUAGUAGGCGGGGUAACGGCUCACCUAGGCGACGAUCCCUAGCUGGUCUGAGAGGAUGACCAGCCACACUGGAACUGAGACACGGUCCAG